This 373-nucleotide ribosomal RNA is filed under the name uncultured Glomeromycotina. RNAcentral's name for it is "LSU rRNA". The record is from RNAcentral. Lineage: Eukaryota; Fungi; Glomeromycota.
UUGAAAGGGAAACGAUUGAAGUCAGUCGUACCUGCGGGUAAUCAGCCUUUUGGGUGUGAUUCUGUGGAGUGUGAGGAGUUAAACGCCUUCAUGCCUGCAUAUUCGUGCACUUUGGGUGUACUUGCCCGUGUGGUUGGUUAACAUCAAUUUUGGUCGUCAUAAAAUGGCUGGAGGAAUGUAGCUUCGAUCUUGUAUUGAAGUGUUAUAGCCUUCGGUAGAUGUGAUGAUUGGGAUUGAGGAUUGCAACGGAUACCCUUCGGGGCUACCUGUCUGAUCUCUGAUCGUUGCUCUGGUGCCGAAAGCGUGCUUACGGUCAUCAAAGUCGAUGGUCAAUAGGUUAGAACGGGUUAAAUUCGUUAAGGAUGUUGACGUA